UGCAUCGGCCGGGAAUCGAACCCUGCCGCCCGCGUGGCAGGCGAGCAUUCUACCACUGAACCACCGAUGG
This 70-nucleotide transfer RNA is filed under the name Cordylochernes scorpioides. RNAcentral describes it as "tRNA-Gly". The record is from RNAcentral. Lineage: Eukaryota; Metazoa; Arthropoda; Arachnida; Pseudoscorpiones; Chernetidae.